GGGUUGUGAGGUUAAGCGACUAAGCGUACACGGUGGAUGCCCUGGCAGUCAGAGGCGAUGAAGGGCGUGCUAAUCUGCGAUAAGCGCCGGUAAGGUGAUAUGAACCGUUAUAACCGGCGAUACCCGAAUGGGGAAACCCAGUGUGAUUCGUCACACUAUCAUUAACUGAAUCCAUAGGUUAAUGAGGCGAACCGGGGGAACUGAAACAUCUAAGUACCCCGAGGAAAAGAAAUCAACCGAGAUUCCCCCAGUAGCGGCGAGCGAACGGGGAGGAGCCCAGAGCCUGAAUCAGCAUGUGUGUUAGUGGAAGCGUCUGGAAAGGCGCGCGAUACAGGGUGACAGCCCCGUACACAAAAGCGCAUGUGCUGUGAGCUCGAUGAGUAGGGCGGGACACGUGGUAUCCUGUCUGAAUAUGGGGGGACCAUCCUCCAAGGCUAAAUACUCCUGACUGACCGAUAGUGAACCAGUACCGUGAGGGAAAGGCGAAAAGAACCCCGGCGAGGGGAGUGAAAAAGAACCUGAAACCGUGUACGUACAAGCAGUGGGAGCACCCUUCGGGGUGUGACUGCGUACCUUUUGUAUAAUGGGUCAGCGACUUAUAUUCUGUAGCA
Molecule: ribosomal RNA, 611 nt
Filed under: Salmonella enterica subsp. enterica
Lineage: Bacteria; Pseudomonadati; Pseudomonadota; Gammaproteobacteria; Enterobacterales; Enterobacteriaceae
Description: bacterial LSU rRNA
Rfam family: Bacterial large subunit ribosomal RNA
Source: RNAcentral